Long non-coding RNA from Acomys russatus (golden spiny mouse), 1397 nucleotides. RefSeq lists it as uncharacterized. The record is from RefSeq and is a predicted model, not a curated record. The transcript has 3 exons. NCBI's taxonomy places the organism in Eukaryota, Metazoa, Chordata, Mammalia, Rodentia, Muridae.
UAUCUUCCUCAUUUCUAUUUCCUCUUCCUGACACCAAGAGUCCAUCAGAACAUGUGACCUUCCUGCUCACAGCAUAAAGCUCGGCUUUCCCUGGUCUCUUAUAGCUUGGCUCAGAACCUAUAUCCCACCCAGGACCAAGGCACCACUUCAAUGACAGGUAGAGUAUCCAUUUGUUAUCUUAGAUGCCCAUGCUGAGAGAGUGCCCAUAAUAGCUAACAGUGCUCUGGAUAUGCCUAACUAACACUUAGAUCAUAGUUAGAGAUGAAGGGCUAAAGACAAGACAAGCGAACUUUUCCAUUGGUUUUCUGUUCUAGAACUUAUGAUAGCAGAAAGAAGAUGCAUGGUAAUUUCUAGCAAACUAUGGCCUUUAGAAGAUAAUCAUGUAGAAAUUAAAUGCUCUUCAGAGCCAGGAAUUAGGAGUUCCAAAUAGCAUUUUUUUUUGUCCUUUAUCUGUUACUAUUCUUUCAGUGAAUUGUUUCUGUAGUCUAAGAUUCAGUGUUUAAGACUCUUUUGCAAAGAAAAUGACAAAGAUGAGGUGCUGUCUAAUGUUUUAUUCUGUAUAUCUCUUAAUUUGAAGGUUAUCAGUCCUCUGCUGAGAAAGGAGAUGAGACUGAUGUUUGAAUUUAUACCUCUAGGCAGUGCUGAACACAUCCUGGAAAAUACUGGUGAUCUGAAAUGUAUGACUGAACAAUGAAUGCUCCUUUCUUUUCUAGUCUUAUACACCACUACAAUUUCAGAAUGUAAAGUCAGAGAGAAGCAAGUUUGGAAGUAGAAAGAGAACAAAUAUGUGAAGAGCAGAGGUCCAGAGAGAAGAAAAGAGGUGUGAACUGGACCAUCAAGAAUGAAAAUGAAACUGGCCUACAACCAGCUUAAUGACUAACUCCUUCCAUCAACCCUGGAAAACAGUGCACAUAUUCCAAAAUGUUCUUGCUGACAAGUGGAAGCACCUGACCUGGCCUUCUGCAGUGUCACGCUCCGUGUAUUUGACAAGCUGAGUUGGACACUCUGUGUGGUAGAGUGUCAGUUUGUCAAAUACCCCAAGUGUGGCUCAUGCCUAUCAGCUCCAGGCCCAGGACAGAGAAAAUAGGACACCAGACUAAGAAUCAUGCAGCUCUGGGGCCUACAAGUCUGAGAUGCAUCUAUGGACAUUGUGAAAAUGCCAUGGAAGGCACAAUGGUCUUGAAAAUACAUAAGGGAUAUGGAGUCGGGGGGUGGGGGGGAGUGUUAUUUGAUUGAUUAUUAAUGUCUUCAUUCACAUUCUUCUUCUUGCUUUUCUCUUUGCUUUUCUUCUUAAAACACCAUUCUUAUUUCUCUUUGUACACCCAGUUCUUCCCUGGACUUUCACACCCCACCAAAUUUCAAUUUCUCUGGGCACUUUGGAAAGUCAGUCUAUAUUU